RNAcentral lists this transfer RNA (78 nucleotides) under uncultured archaeon. RNAcentral's name for it is "tRNA-Met". It matches the Rfam family "tRNA". From Rfam's summary of the family: Transfer RNA (tRNA) molecules are approximately 80 nucleotides in length. The record is from RNAcentral.
AGCGGGGUGGGCCAGUCUGGAGUGGCCGCCGGACUCAUGAUCCGGAGAACCUCGGUUCAAAUCCGAGCCCCGCUACCA